CCCCCCCGGGGAAGGAAAAAAAGGGUUUUGGGUUUGGAAAAAUUUUUGUUGUUAAAAGAGGAACAAUUUUGGGGAGUAACCGUUUCAGGUAUUGGCCGGUAUUUUACCCAGAAAAGCCCCGGGUUAAAUUACGUGCCCACCACCCCGCGGUAAAUACGUAGGGGGCCAAGCGUUGUCCGGAUUUAUUGGGCGUAAAAGCGAGCGCAGGCGGUUUUUUAAGUUUGAUGUGAAAGCCUUUGGGUUCAACCGAAGAAGUGCAUCGGAAACUGGGAAACUUGAGUGCAGAAGAGGACAGUGGAACUCCAUGUGUAGCGGUGAAAUGCGUAGAUAUAUGGAAGAACACCAGUGGCGAAGGCGGCUGUCUGGUCUGUAACUGACGCUGAGGCUCGAAAGUAUGGGUAGCAAACAGGAUUAGAUACCCUGGUAGUCCAUACCGUAAACGAUGAAUGCUAAGUGUUGGAGGGUUUCCGCCCUUCAGUGCUGCAGCUAACGCAUUAAGCAUUCCGCCUGGGGAGUACGGCCGCAAGGCUGAAACUCAAAGGAAUUGACGGGGGCCCGCACAAGCGGUGGAGCAUGUGGUUUAAUUCGAAGCUACGCGAAGAACCUUACCAGGUCUUGACAUACUAUGCAAAUCUAAGAGAUUAGACGUUCCCUUCGGGGACAUGGAUACAGGUGGUGCAUGGUUGUCGUCAGCUCGUGUCGUGAGAUGUUGGGUUAAGUCCCGCAACGAGCGCAACCCUUAUUAUCAGUUGCCAGCAUUAAGUUGGGCACUCUGGUGAGACUGCCGGUGACAAACCGGAGGAAGGUGGGGAUGACGUCAAAUCAUCAUGCCCCUUAUGACCUGGGCUACACACGUGCUACAAUGGAUGGUACAACGAGUUGCGAACUCGCGAGAGUAAGCUAAUCUCUUAAAGCCAUUCUCAGUUCGGAUUGUAGGCUGCAACUCGCCUACAUGAAGUCGGAAUCGCUAGUAAUCGCGGAUCAGCAUGCCGCGGUGAAUACGUUCCCGGGCCUUGUACACACCGCCCGUCACACCAUGAGAGUUUGUAACACCCAAAGUCGGUGGGGUAACCUUUUAGGAACCAGCCGCCUAAGGGACAGAGUUUGGG
Molecule: ribosomal RNA, 1109 nt
Filed under: Lactiplantibacillus plantarum
Lineage: Bacteria; Bacillati; Bacillota; Bacilli; Lactobacillales; Lactobacillaceae
Description: bacterial SSU rRNA
Rfam family: Bacterial small subunit ribosomal RNA
Source: RNAcentral